GACGAACGCUGGCGGCGUGCCUAAUACAUGCAAGUAGAACGCUGAAGAGAGGAGCUUGCUCUUCUUGGAUGAGUUGCGAACGGGUGAGUAACGCGUAGGUAGCCUGCCUUGUAGCGGGGGAUAACUAUUGGAAACGAUAGCUAAUACCGCAUAACAAUGGAUGACACAUGCCAUUUAUUUGAAAGGGGCAAUUGCUCCACUACAAGAUGGACCUGCGUUGUAUUAGCUAGUAGGUGAGGUAAUGGCUCACCUAGGCGACGAUACAUAGCCGACCUGAGAGGGGUAUCGGCCACACUGGGAAUGAGACACGGCCCAGACUCCUACGGGAGGCAGCAGUAGGGAAUCUUCGGCAAUGGGGGCAACCCUGACCGAGCAACGCCGCGUGAGUGAAGAAGGGUGUCGGAUCGUAAAGCUCUGUUGUAAGUCAAGAACGGGUGUGAGAGUGGAAAGUUCACACUGUGACGGUAGCUUAACAGAAAGGGACGGCUAACUACGUG
This 497-nucleotide ribosomal RNA is filed under the name uncultured bacterium. RNAcentral's name for it is "partial 16S ribosomal RNA". It matches the Rfam family "Bacterial small subunit ribosomal RNA", at positions 28 to 507 of the family's 1533-position model. The record is from RNAcentral.